CAGCAGUAGCCGCGGGAAUACGUAGGUGGCAAGCGUUGUCCGGAAUUAUUGGGCGUAAAGGGCUCGUAGGCGGUUUCUUAAGUCUGAUGUGAAAGCCCCCGGCUCAACCGGGGAGGGUCAUUGGAAACUGGGAAACUUGAGUGCAGAAGAGGAGAGUGGAAUUCCACGUGUAGCGGUGAAAUGCGUAGAGAUGUGGAGGAACACCAGUGGCGAAGGCGACUCUCUGGUCUGUAACUGACGCUGAGGAGCGAAAGCGUGGGGAGCGAACAGGAUUAGAGACCCGUGUAGUCCCUGUCUCUUAUAC
RNAcentral lists this ribosomal RNA (304 nucleotides) under uncultured bacterium. RNAcentral's name for it is "partial 16S ribosomal RNA". It matches the Rfam family "Bacterial small subunit ribosomal RNA", at positions 506 to 807 of the family's 1533-position model. The record is from RNAcentral.